Haliotis rufescens (red abalone) is the source of this 1302-nucleotide long non-coding RNA. RefSeq lists it as uncharacterized. Lineage: Eukaryota; Metazoa; Mollusca; Gastropoda; Lepetellida; Haliotidae. The record is from RefSeq and is a predicted model, not a curated record. The transcript has 2 exons.
CGCUACUUUUACUCAAUGACAUUUUAACCGUCAGCUGGUAUUUUAUACUAUUUAAAUCAUCUAACUCCUCGUUAAUUUUACUCGAUACGAUGGGCUUAACAUCGUUAACAUCCAUGUUCGAAUUAACCCUUUCGCCCCGACUGAUAUGUCACCUGUUUUCGCGACUGGUAUUUUUUCUUGCUUGAAUCGUAAAUCUAGCGUAAUGGCGGCCAACUACGAUUCGGAUAGCGAUCAGAUGACUAACAACGACUCUAUCGGGAAUAAUAAUGUGUUUGAUUUGAAUAAUUUACGCGAAGGGGAGAGGGAAUUUUCGCGAAAAGAUUUUGGUGAAGAUUUUGACGGUUUCGACGAGGUGUCCCCCCACACACCCCCGCCAACUUUCAAGAAUGGGAGUGGCAGAGGGACCACAAUGGUGGAGACAUGAGGGAUUUUGAAGAGGCGACCGGACUCAAGAAUACUUAUUGACACGGUGAGUGAAGAGUCGUGCUAUUGAUUUUUUCCAACUGUUUUACAAUGAUUCUGUGUUUGAACAGAUUAUCAGGGCGAUGAAUGAGAAUGCAGCCUACACGUGAACGAGUGAUCACAACAACAACAAAGGUGAGUGGCAUGACGUAUCUCUUUCUUUUUUUUUAAAUUUCUUUUUUUGAUCGCAAUCCGAAUUGUAGUUUGCCGGUUUGUCGUAUGUCCUUGUAUUUCGCUCAAUUUGAAUAAAAUUUAUUUCCAUGUUCAUGUUCGUUUUCUUGUUUUUUACAUCAUAAUUUAAAUUUUAGUAACUGUAAUAAUUAUUUAUUUAUUAAUUGAUUUAUAUAAAGUACUGAUUUAAUUUAUUAUGCAAUUGUAAAUAGCAGUGUAUUGUAAAUAUGUUAUCACAACUUGUAUAUUUGCAGAACUUGAAUUUAGGAUCUUUCUGUCCUUUUACAAUCUUUCCCUCCUUUCAGAUCAAUCUGUGAUAUCUUCCCUGUGAUGUCAUUCUUAUAGUAGCUGUGGUUCAAAAUGUGCAUGAAGAGAAUUCACCUGUAACAACUGGGAUUACCUGUGCCGUCCAAGAUGACAAGACCACCGUGUUAUGUUUACCUUGUAUCUGUGAUUUAUUUUUGUGAUUUUUAAUACAAUUUGAGCCAAAAUUCAUUGUCUGUUAUCAUUUUUUCAGUGUUUUCAAGUUUUAUUUCACUUGUAAACACCUGUAAUUAGAAAAUAACAAAGGUUAGAGACAAUAACAACAUAGAAUAUUACAGUAUACUUAAUCCUCGUUACAAUGGUAUAUGAUAAAUGUAUAUUAAAAGCAAGUUUCUGGUAGAAAAA